RNAcentral lists this transfer RNA (62 nucleotides) under Gyrodactylus parvae. RNAcentral's name for it is "tRNA-Cys". Lineage: Eukaryota; Metazoa; Platyhelminthes; Monogenea; Gyrodactylidea; Gyrodactylidae. The record is from RNAcentral.
GUGUAUGAAACAAAAAUUUAUUUUGCAAAAAUAAAUACGGUAUUUAAUUUUACCCAUACAUU